Oryctolagus cuniculus (rabbit) is the source of this 2181-nucleotide long non-coding RNA. The record is from Ensembl. Lineage: Eukaryota; Metazoa; Chordata; Mammalia; Lagomorpha; Leporidae.
GAGAAUCCAGGCAGCCAGGGAGUGGGCGGGGAGAGAGGGGUGAGCAAGGGCUGGGGAUGCCCGUGGGGUGGCCAGCAUCACACAGAGCGCAGGGCUGCCGGCUGCUCUAAACUGCGGGUCAGGCGGUGAGCCCUCCGGAACCUGCGCCCAGGCCUGACGUAAGCCAGGGUUCCUCUGCGCUCCAGACUAGGCGGCUUUCUCUCUGCACACCCUGGGACCUGCCCAAGGGGCGCCUGGAGGAAGGCACCAGGCACGCGUUUCCGAACGGUCACUCAGGGUGGCUGAUUCUGUGUGCCCCGAGGCUCGGGGCGCUGUCUCAGGUGCCAUUACUGCGUCAGGGCGCUGCCUGUGGCAUUUCCUGCCCAUUUGCACAACUUAGAGAGGCGGGGGAGAGGGGAGCCAGAUUCUCCAGGAGACCCCGACUCCACCGAUAAAAUCCACCUGAUCAGGGCCCUCUAGCGGAGAGGCUGUGGCUGCCUCAGCCUCAGCGCAAUGUGGGCCGGGUCCCUUUAAACUGCUAGCUCUGUCCCUGUUCCUUAAAAGCCUACAGGGGAAGGAGCAGCCCAGUGCCCCAGCUGGGGGUGGCAGCUGCGGAUGCGGUACUUGCUGCACCCCCUGUAUGCGCCUUCAGAGCCUGGGGGAUCAGAACAGCCUCCCAGGGGUGCCAGGCAGGUGCGUGAGGCCCGAAGUUCAGUGCGGCCAGCAACAGGGGCGGGCGUCCACCAGGGCCGCCCAGGGGAGUGGCCCCUCCCACCUGCAGAGAUUCAGCAGGGACUCCCUGGAGGAAGCCACCUGCAGCCAGCAGUGGAGUUCAGAGGCAGGGAGGGAGAAACUCCCCGUCACAAGGCAAGGAGACUGGAAACAGCCUGGACCCGCGGGGACGUUCAGGAAUGUUCCAGAGUGACCAGCAGGGCUCAUGGAGGCUCUGCUAAGACAGGAGGCAGCGGCGAGGCCGGCUCAGGCCAGAGGCCUGGGCACCAGAACGCCAGCGAGGGACUGGGCACCCUUUCAAAAAGGCCAGACCCUGACUUCCAAAGCCAGAGCGGGCCGAGGCUGGAGACACUCACAGAGCACCAAGCAGAAAGUCAGGGCAGACAGCAUGAGAGCAGAGGCGAGCCCAUGCUCAGCACCAGCGUCGCCAAGCUCACAUGACCGGCAAGAGAAGAACCGUGGCAUCGUUCACACUGGACUCCAGGGAGGACUCAGGGAACACCAGCUAUGGGCCAGCAGCGUGCUGACCACUCCAAAGGUCUUCCCCCAACCUCUCCAGGCCACAGUAACUCCACAAGGCUUUGCAAACUCACACUCUCUAAGCCAUUAGAAGUAAUGACAACAGAAGUAUGCAAAGUGACUCGGGGAUGUAAGCUGUGGAUUAGGCCUGUCUGCUCCUGGCUGUCACAGUGCCCAUGUCUUAUUAAGCACUCAUUAUGCACCAGACACUGUAUGCAUUAUUGCUGGCAUUCCUCCCCAGUUCCUGCAUGUCACCAAUUAGUAUUAUUCCCAUUUUACAAAGAAAACAGACAUUCAGAAAAGUAAUUUGCUCAAGCAGACAGGGAUGUAAAGCCAGAAUUCAGCUUUUCCUGUACUCUACAGGAUAAAGGGCCCACCAUUUUAGCACAGAAGACGCAGUGUCGUGUUGAAGUAACCCAUAGAUUGUGAGCUGCAUAGACACUGAAAAUGUCCCAGGGAAGCUACCUCAGGCCUAUAGAAUGUCGAUGGUAUUCAGGCAAUAAUGGAUCAUCCUGGGUGAACUGGUUGACCUACAUGAGUCACAGCAUCCCCGAGUGUCUUGACCAGUGUUUGGUUUAGAGGUUGCCAUGAGGUCUUGUUCUGACCAAAGAGAUGAAAGAAGCCUGUUCCAGAUCUCUGAGAGAUUUUCCUCCCUGACAAAUGAGACAUGAGGAGAGAAAGCCCUCUUGCAUGGCUCCUCCUGCUAGCUGGAACACUAUCAUGUGGGGACAGGAUCAUUGGAACGGGGCAGCUGUUUUGUGUACAUGAGUGUAAAGAAGGGAGCAUUGCUCACACCCUAAGGAAAUCAGAAUGAAAAGGAAAAAAGUUUAGGAGCUUGAUGUCAUUGUUAAGCCAUCAAGCCUACCCUAGGACCACCUAUUUCCAGAUUUUUUUGUAGCAUUAAUAACUGUUCAAGCAGCUUUAGUAUCAAUAAAUACAUUUCCUUUUACA